GCAGGCUGGUUGGGGUCGGGGCUAAAGUCAGGCUGGGCUGAAGGAGCCAGGGCCCUGUGAUGCAGCCUUGGCCACCCAGGUCAUGGGCCACCUGCUUCCCCUGUAGACUCCAGAGCUCCUGCCCUGGAACCUGCUGUGGCUCCCCACUCCCCACAGGGCAGAGCCUAAAUUCCCCAGUGUGACAUUUAAGGGCUAUCGCACCCUGGCUGCUGCUCUGGUAAGUUCUACUUCAGGGCCCAGCUGCUUCUGCUCCUCUGUGCCUUUGCAGGCUCUGUUCUCACUGCUGUCACACCCCUCCUCGUGGGCAGUGCCUUCCCGGGCUGUCCCCCUCCCCUGACACUUUGCACAAGCUGCUUACGUGUCCAUAUCCCCUUCCUCCCGCUCCUUCCCAGACUUCACCCCCUCCUGCCUGUAGUCAGCCCCCCACCUGCAUUCCAUAGCCUCCUCUCUGCUGCAUCACCAUCUAGCAUUUUCCAUAGCUUACUAUUGUUUCGUUGAAUGUCUUUCUCCUUCACCCAGAAUGUCAGCUCCAUGAGGGCAGGUGGGGAGGUUUUGUCACGGCUGCGUGGCCCCAGUGCCUGGGGCUGCCCGGCACAUAGCAGGUGCCCAGGCAGGGCUUGUUAGAGGCAGGGGCUUGGCAGCCUCUGACGGGAGCUCUAAGGCUCCGUGGCCUGGGACAGCCCUCCUCCCCCUGCCCUUUGCAGCCUUGUCUCCCGCGGAGCACGAAGCUGGGCACCCUGGGGGCCAUGCAGAAGGCCGGGGCUGGGGGCCGGAGGGCCUCGGACUGCGGCCCCGCCCCUCACCGGCCCAGUACGUGGGCUCCUUUCCUGUGGACGACCUGGACACCCAGGAGCGCGUGUGGCUGGUGCAGCAACAGCUGUGGGCACUGAAGGUAGGGGGGCUGGGGCUGGAGAGGGCACUUCCCUAGUGGGGACCACAGCUUUGGAUGUCAGGCUGGGAAUCCUGAGACUGCCUGCUCCCCCCUCCGCCCCCCAACUCAGAGAGCUGGAGCAAGUGAGACCCAGGGAGGGGCAGGACCAAAGCCAUUCUGAGACGUGGGCCCUGACCCCUCCUCCUGAGCUCCGGGAUCCCCGUCCCUUAUGCCCCAGGGCCCCCUUCCCUUGGGCAGUUGUGACCUGUGUGUGUGUG
This 1149-nucleotide long non-coding RNA is filed under the name Sus scrofa (pig). RNAcentral's name for it is "lncRNA (ENSSSCG00060018678.1)". The record is from RNAcentral. Lineage: Eukaryota; Metazoa; Chordata; Mammalia; Artiodactyla; Suidae.